UGCAGCUAAAUGGGACAGGAUGGGUGUAAAAUUAGCAGCGCUGCAAAAUCAGGCCUACCAGUACAAUGAGGAAAGGGAUUCACUGCGGCUGCUUGUUCGCCUGAAGGCAGCACGCGAAACAGCACGGUGCAGUGCUCAAGCCACGGUGGUGCUUUCUUUUGAAGAAAAGCUGCCAGAGGAGCACCUGAAGAUAUUCUUUGUAAGGACGACGUGUGUUUUCCAGAAUGGAAGGCAAAGAAACACCACAAUCCCCAGCAGAGGAAUGGCGCUCGCUCCCUGUGCCAGUAGCCUCACUAUUUUAGCUGUGACGCUCCCAACGCACCUGAAGGUAGCAACAAUCUGACUGCACCCGCCGUACCCACCGCUGAUGGCCAGCAUCUGCACUCACAGCAAAGCCACAGAUCUGAGUCACCUCCCUGUGAAAACCUUCCCUCCUGGGUGGAUGCCCUGAGCCUUAUCGGGGGACCAGGCGCACACCACUGGCCGGCAGGCAGCCGCUGCUCUCCAGGCAGCCUCCGGGAUGCUGCUAGCGGAGGAUGCCAGCCACAGAGCGCCUGCUCCUCCCGGCCCAGCUGCUGCAGGAGCCAGGAUGCCGCACAAAGCAACACAACACCACAUUUUGGAGAGCUGGAGGGGCCCAUCCCCUGCACGGUGCAGAGGAGCCGGACUCUGCAGCACAGGAGGCUCAGACCAAAGUUUAAUUCACAGCGUAAUGAAAUCCCACAAUUCAAGCACCAAAGCGUGCCAUAUACCACACGUAAACGCCCUAAUACUCUACAUUUUACAGCCGUGUAUCAUGAAGAACACUAAAUCUGAGAAACAAGAUUUUCAAGAGCAUCACAGGUACUUGAGAGCAACCCCAAGCGAUAACCAAAGCAAUGCAUGGGACGGGGCCUGCCUGGAACACGGGCACCGGGCUGGGGAGCAGCAGCACCGCGAUGCAGGACAGCCAGCCCCCAGCACGGCCGGCACUACCUGCCUCGCUCCCCAUCGCAGCUAACGAACUGCAACGCUUUAUGAACAAGAACUAAUUGUUACCCUGCUCUUUGUUAGGGCGCAGUUUAAUUCUGUACAUUACAUUUUAGUACCACUUUGGAUGCGGUUAUGAGCCCACGCUAGCUUGGCCAUGGCACCUUCACAGAAGGUGUCUCGGUUUGAAUCAGGAGCACGGUCCUGCCCAGCUGCACCUGAUUAUCAAAGGGAGAGAGCAAAGGUGCCUGAAUCGAGGCUCAGUCCCGUGGAAAUCCCGCAGAACCUACCCAGAGCUGAGACAGCCCCCGUGCACACAGGCAACACGUGCCCGCACUCCCCUGCAGCGUCGCUCGUGCCGCGGCCCUUCCGUGCCAUCGCUGUCUGACAGCGCAGGGGGAAGCAUCGAACGCUGCAAGUUCACGAGUGAUUUAUGCGCUUGUCAUUAUUCAUGGCUAUAAAACAUUAUAAUGCUCGAAAUAAGUAAAAACAUUUUUGCAGCUGCUGCAAAUGUUUCAUUCCUAGAUGUAAGCUUGGCCGAGACACAGGGAUCGCUGCAUAAGCGCCAGAUUCGCAGUGAAGUAAUUAGCACUUUGAAACACACAUCUACCUAAUGCGGGCACUCACAAUCCAGCCAGAGUUUCAACAUGACCUGCGCUGAUAACUAGCCGCAAAGACAAAUGUUUCCCAGGCUGCUCUCCUCCAGACAGGUAACUUUAUCCCUUAUCCCAAAGGUGUGGAAGAGCAAGGAUGAAGUGUUACAGACCUGGAACGACGUCCCACGCUACAGAUGUGUAAAACAGCUGGGCAAAUGAUGUCAUUAAAAAUACUUCGCCACCUCU
This is a long non-coding RNA of Oxyura jamaicensis (ruddy duck), 1811 nucleotides long. RefSeq lists it as uncharacterized. The transcript has 2 exons. The record is from RefSeq and is a predicted model, not a curated record. Lineage: Eukaryota; Metazoa; Chordata; Aves; Anseriformes; Anatidae.